GAUGAAGAACGUAGCGAAAUGCGAUACGUAAUGUGAAUUGCAGAAUUCAGUGAAUCAUCGAAUCUUUGAACGCAUAUUGCGCUCUCUGGUAUUCCGGAGAGCAUGCUUGUUUGAGUAUCAGUAAACACCUCAACUUCCAUAUCUUUUUUUGAAAUGGAAGUUGGACUUGAGUGAUCCCAACGCUUUUCCUCACCGAAAAGUGGCGGGUUACUUGAAAUGCAGGUGCAGCUGGACUUUUCUCUGAGCUAUAAGCAUAUCUAUUUAGUCUGCCUAAAAAACAGAUUAUUACCUUUGCUGCAGCUAACAUAAAGGAGAUUAGUUCUUGUGCUGACUGAUGCAGGAUUCACAAAGACAGCUUCGGCCGACUUUGUAAACUCGAUCUCGAAUCAAGUAAGACUACCCGCUGAACUUAAGCAUAUCAAUAAGCGGAGGA
This 433-nucleotide unclassified non-coding RNA is filed under the name soil metagenome. RNAcentral's name for it is "partial contains 5.8S ribosomal RNA, internal transcribed spacer 2, and large subunit ribosomal RNA". The stretch from base 1 to 120 matches the Rfam family "5.8S ribosomal RNA", at positions 35 to 154 of the family's 154-position model. The record is from RNAcentral.